This 232-nucleotide ribosomal RNA is filed under the name uncultured bacterium. Its description in RNAcentral is "partial 16S ribosomal RNA". It matches the Rfam family "Bacterial small subunit ribosomal RNA", at positions 118 to 347 of the family's 1533-position model. The record is from RNAcentral.
UGAGCAAUCUGCCCUUCUCAUCGGAAUAAGCGUUGGAAACGACGUCUAAUGCCGAAUACGACCUCCUUUCACAUAAUCGGAGGUGGAAAGCUCCGGCGGAGAAGGAUGAGCUCGCGGCCUAUCAGCUAGUUGGUGUGGGUAAUGGCCCACCAAGGCGACGACGGGUAGCCGGCCUGAGAGGGUGAUCGGCCACAUUGGAACUGAGACACGGUCCAGACUCCUACGGGAGCAG